UACGUAGGGGGCAAGCGUUGUCCGGAUUUAUUGGGCGUAAAGAGCGUGUAGGCGGCUUUGCAAGUCCGUUGUGAAAGUCCAGGGCUCAACCCUGGAAUGCCGGUGGAAACUGUCGAGCUAGAGUCCGGAAGAGGCGAGUGGAAUUCCUGGUGUAGCGGUGAAAUGCGCAGAUAUCGGGAAGAACACCCGUGGCGAAGGCGGUUCUCUGGGACGGUACUGACGCUGAGACGCGAAAGCGUGGGGAGCGAACAGG
Molecule: ribosomal RNA, 253 nt
Filed under: uncultured bacterium
Lineage: Bacteria
Description: partial 16S ribosomal RNA
Rfam family: Bacterial small subunit ribosomal RNA
Source: RNAcentral